CAGAGAUUGGGGCGGAUUCCGCAGAUAUACUUGUGAACCAGCUCUUCAUUGAGUUGUUGACCCCCCUCCCUCCACCCUUGAAUAAAUUACCUUUGUUGCUUUGGCGGGCCGCCUCGUGCCAGCGGCUUCGGCUGUUGAGCGCCCGCCAGAGGACCACAACUCUUGUUUUUAGUGAUGUCUGAGUACUAUAUAAUAGUUA
This 199-nucleotide unclassified non-coding RNA is filed under the name uncultured Cadophora. Its description in RNAcentral is "sequence contains ITS1". Lineage: Eukaryota; Fungi; Ascomycota; Leotiomycetes; Helotiales. The record is from RNAcentral.